Molecule: long non-coding RNA, 487 nt
Filed under: Nicotiana benthamiana
Lineage: Eukaryota; Viridiplantae; Streptophyta; Magnoliopsida; Solanales; Solanaceae
Description: long non-coding RNA (NBEN_LNC036178)
Source: RNAcentral
AUUGAUUAACCACUUUCUCUAUCACCUUUAUCAUAGAAAAUACCCCUGAUAUGUUCAAACCCAAUACCCAUAUCUAUUGCAUUGUGCUCAUGAAUUGACAUAUACUGAACAUUUGUAUUUCACAUGAAUCCAAAAUCAUGCCAAUUGGCACCCACUCAGUGCACAUACUACUUUUUCUUGACUUAUGCCACCUUGACGUGCUAGACAGACUCCGCUUUGUGUAAUUAGAAAGCUGAUAGCAGAUUUUGAAAUCAUUUCUUAAUUGUUCUGACAAAAUAGACUCGAGAGGACUUAUACAAAGCAAGAAGAACGGAGUUAAGGGGACAAUAAAAGAGAUGACAUCUAACAAGAAAAUCACCAAGCAGAAACUUAUCAAAUAUGGAUACCAACUCUAAUGACCGUGACAUGCAUUUUGUAUUAAGUGGCCUAAUCGGUCAAGCAAGUCUAAUGUUCAUCUCUUUUUGUAUCUCUAAGCCAUGAAAAUGUC